UACGGGGGGAGCAAGCGUUGUUCGGAUUUACUGGGCGUAAAGGGCGCGUAGGCGGCCAGCACAAGUCAGUUGUGAAAUCUCCGAGCUUAACUCGGAAAGGUCAACUGAUACUGUGCGGCUAGAGUGCAGAAGGGGCAACUGGAAUUCUUGGUGUAGCGGUGAAAUGCGUAGAUAUCAAGAGGAACACCUGAGGUGAAGACGGGUUGCUGGGCCAACACUGACGCUGAGGCGCGAAAGCCAGGGGAGCAAACGGG
This 254-nucleotide ribosomal RNA is filed under the name uncultured bacterium. RNAcentral's name for it is "partial 16S ribosomal RNA". It matches the Rfam family "Bacterial small subunit ribosomal RNA", at positions 524 to 776 of the family's 1533-position model. The record is from RNAcentral.